Molecule: long non-coding RNA, 1341 nt
Filed under: Helianthus annuus (common sunflower)
Lineage: Eukaryota; Viridiplantae; Streptophyta; Magnoliopsida; Asterales; Asteraceae
Description: hypothetical non coding rna
Source: RNAcentral
GUUUCUCAUGACGUCUAGGGUUUGAGCCCAAAUAGCUUUCUUUUUACAUUAUAAAUAAAACACUACCCCUUCUUCAUCAGCCAUCACACCCUUCACCAAAACUAUCACUGUAUAGCUUCUUUUUCCUAAUCUCCCAUCGUUAUUCUCAAUAUAAGUCCCCAGUGUUUUGAUCGGCUUAUCGAUCUACAAAUUCAUGAUUUUUUUUAUGGGAUUUGCAGAUCUGAUUUUCCCAGAUGAGGAUAAUAGUGGGAUGGGGAUAACUCCAGACAGGUAUCUUCUUCGGGUUGUUGGAAUUGGUGGACUCGGAAAAAUGAUUCUUGAUAUCUUUAUUUAAGUUUUUACAAUAUUAACUAGAUUUCUAGUACUAGAUGAUAAUCUUUGAUAAUCUGGUAGCUUUCCGUAUAUUGAUGAAUUGCGAACAAGAAGAAUGGUGGUUCUAAACAUGGAACAACGUUUUUUUUAUUUAUGUUUGUUGGAUUCUUUUGGUGAGCGUGUAGUCUAUUGAAAAGAUUUACCGGGCUUUAAAUAUCGACAUGAUUUAGUUCGAGAUGUGCUUCAUGAUGUUAUUGGAUGGGAAUGAGGGAAACACGUGUGCGUUGAUUUGACAGGUGUGUCCCUCCUUAUUUGGCUAAGGGACCACGGGUUUGGGGCGGGCCAGACGAUAACCAAGGCGGAGGCGGGCAAAGUAGCUAAGUACGAAAAAAUUUGUAUCGAGAAUCAGCACGUGUUCGUCCUGUUCGCUUUCGAUACCUUUGACGCUCUCGCCCCUGACGCGGUGCGGUUGCUCAAGCGAGUUCAACAGGUGGCAAGCAGUAACACCGCGCAUGUUAAUAGGCAGAAUUUUGUGUUUAGUAGGGUAAGGUUUGCUAUUCAGAAGAGGGUAGCGGCGCAGCUUGUUGCCCUACCUGCCAAUAGUUUGUAAUCGUCCCUCUUUUAAAGGUUAUAUAACAUAUGAUGAACCAAUUGUGAGAAAGAGAGAGAUUGCUUCUAAAAAAAUUAACUAAGGCUUUGGUGAUCGGCGUAUCGUAUUGUAAUUUAACAGGAGUCGUGAUUGUGAAAAAAAUUAACUAAGGCUUUGGUGAUCGGCGUAUCGUAUUGUAAUUUAACAGGAGUCGUGAUUGUGAUUUAACAAGAGUCAGAUGAUUGAAUAGUUGGUUAUGAGUUAUGACUCAAUUUCUAUACAAAGAUAGAAAACCUAAAAUCAUAGCAUUUAUAACUAAGUAAACUUAUUGAUUAUUUUAAUAUCGUUGUGUUUUGGUUUGCUGUUUGUUUUAUAUAUUUGUUCUAGUUUGUUUAAGGACAUAUAAUGUAUUGAGGUAAAAAGGAUAUUGAAAACAAAUU